AUAGAGCCGUGCGGGAGCUCGGGUAAGCCGGGCUGAGAGGCCCCGAUAUGUCGGGGCGACCGUCGGAACCUGAUCUGGGUAAUGCCAGCGUAGGGAAUCGGAAGAGAUGUCCUG
This 114-nucleotide non-coding RNA is filed under the name Dehalococcoidia bacterium. RNAcentral describes it as "TPP sequence". It matches the Rfam family "TPP riboswitch aptamer (THI element)". From Rfam's summary of the family: Vitamin B(1) in its active form thiamin pyrophosphate (TPP) is an essential coenzyme that is synthesised by coupling of pyrimidine and thiazole moieties in bacteria. The previously detected thiamin-regulatory element, thi box was extended, resulting in a new, highly conserved RNA secondary structure, the THI element, which is widely distributed in eubacteria and also occurs in some archaea. The record is from RNAcentral. Lineage: Bacteria; Bacillati; Chloroflexota; Dehalococcoidia.